Notechis scutatus (mainland tiger snake) is the source of this 500-nucleotide non-coding RNA. The record is from RefSeq and is a predicted model, not a curated record. NCBI's taxonomy places the organism in Eukaryota, Metazoa, Chordata, Lepidosauria, Squamata, Elapidae.
UAAUUGGGAAGAGGAGAGGACACACCAAAUAAAACAGACUCCAGGCAAAACUUUGAGCCUUAUGGGAAGAUCAAUCUGGGCCUACCUUACUCUUUGCUAACACCCGCCUCAGCUUCGAUGGAUACUUUUCCCUUUACGAUAGGAGAAGCCAUCUGUUUGGGGUCAAGCUUGGCCUUCUCAAGCCUCUUUUAUUACCUGCACAGGAAGAAGGCCAAGGUGGUGUCCAAAAUCCAGGGGGCUCCAAAGCUCCAGGUCGGUUCAAAUCUUCCCAGCAUUCUGUCUGCCGCAGGUAGCGACUGCCUCCCCUAUGUUGUCAUUGAAGGUAAGAAAUUCAGCAAACAGGAUCACCAAGAUUUGAACAGGGAAAAUUCAUCAUGCCAAUUUCCCAGUCCCUUCCUUUUCCAUUUAUCAUUGUGAAUCUGGCACCAGUUAUCCUUCCUAAAUGCCCGCCAAGGAAUGAACAAGAAUCUGCAAUGGGAAAAUACCAUUCAUUGUUAAAA